Molecule: ribosomal RNA, 450 nt
Filed under: uncultured bacterium
Lineage: Bacteria
Description: bacterial SSU rRNA
Rfam family: Bacterial small subunit ribosomal RNA
Source: RNAcentral
GUAGGGAAUCUUCGGCAAUGGACGAAAGUCUGACCGAGCAACGCCGCGUGAGUGAAGAAGGUUUUCGGAUCGUAAAACUCUGUUGUUAGAGAAGAACGUUGUGUAGAGUGGAAAAUUACACAAGUGACGGUAUCUAACCAGAAAGGGACGGCUAACUACGUGCCAGCAGCCGCGGUAAUACGUAGGUCCCGAGCGUUGUCCGGAUUUAUUGGGCGUAAAGCGAGCGCAGGUGGUUUAAUAAGUCUGAUGUAAAAGGCAGUGGCUCAACCAUUGUGUGCAUUGGAAACUGUUAGACUUGAGUGCAGUAGAGGAGAGUGGAAUUCCAUGUGUAGCGGUGAAAUGCGUAGAUAUAUGGAGGAACACCGGUGGCGAAAGCGGCUCUCUGGACUGUAACUGACACUGAGGCUCGAAAGCGUGGGUAGCAAACAGGAUUAGAAACCCUAGUAGUCC